Molecule: long non-coding RNA, 3481 nt
Organism: Mytilus californianus (California mussel)
Lineage: Eukaryota; Metazoa; Mollusca; Bivalvia; Mytilida; Mytilidae
Exons: 3
Source: RefSeq, a predicted model, not a curated record
ACAAAUAAUCUGCAGUAUCAUAGAGUCUCAGCUUACAAGAAAAAUGUUUUACUAAAUUCUAAAUUAACAACUUCAAUGUAUUUUAUAAAUCUGAAUUAAUGUUUACAGAAUUUGCUUGUGAAAUGAGGUCAAGUUCUAUUGGAAACAUCCAGUCACCUUUUAUUUUUCUCAAGUACACAACGCCUCGCUUCUUCAGAAUUUUCUAUUAUUUCAUCAAUUCAACUGGACUACUUUGGUCACUCGUUCAUUGUUGAUAAUCAAUUCAAGAAGUAGGUCAUGUAAUUUUACUAGCGGACGUGUCACUGAACAUCUUAUGCUUUGUGCAUGUACAGGAGGUCAUUUUGUCCAUUCAUAAUAUACUGCCAACUUGAUGUUGACAGCUGUAGUCCUGUGUUUAUCAUUCUGCAUUUAAUACUUUCACCGUACUACUGGAAUAUACAAAGGAUUCUUAACAUUUUUUUGGGUGUUUUUCAACGUUUUGAACGGUUACUCUUGGAUGAUUAAAUAAGUAGAAAUUUCGUUCCGCAUGUAAACACAUAUUCUUAUCAUUUUUAUCGAUCAAAACUUAUCUUUACCCUAUAUGGAAGAAAGGUUACAUGCAUAGUUCUUGAUUUCAAUUUUACACCUAUUCGUUUAGGUAGUUUACAGAUCAAUCUGAAAUAUUCUAGAAGCUAUAUGUAGUAAAAUAUAUGUUUUUAUAUUCAAUCUAUUAUUAACAUUGACUUUCAUUCAUCCAUCUAAAGCUAUUUUACGAUCCAGGUAAAUCCGACAUCUAUUUUGAGCCUUGAUGAUGAAAUCUAUUUAUAAAGCUGAAAGUUUCCGAAAAUCUGCCUUAAAACGAGCCAUUGUGCAUAUUAUUGCGCAAAAUCAGUUCACCAUUCGAAGAUCAUACAUAAUAAACGUUGUAUAAGGUAAAUUCUGUGAUAUCAAUUCAACGAACAAAAUUUCAACAAAAGAUACCUUUGAAGAAAAACAACUUGAAGAAAAAUGGGAAGAGACACAGAUAGAUUAAGGAUAAUCAGUAUGAAUGCUUCUGGUAGGAAAGGAAAACAGUAUCAAAAGUAUCGACAUUCUUACCUGAACGAAAUUAUCGGACACGAUGAGCCCGAUAUAUUAUUUUUGCCGGGGGACAAACCUGAUAUGUCAUCAUCAGUGUUAACUGAUUAUCGUCAAGCACAAGUCGCUCACAAUCACGAGACUGUACUUUUGUACGAUACGAAGAGGUUGCGAUUGGAAACCCCAAAUUGGUACGAUCUGAUACCAUCCUUAGUUGUUCCUGGCAUACAACAGGGCAAACUAAUGUAUCCCUUAGUCGAUAUACUGGCUCCUAAACCGACUCAACAUAUCGUCAAGCAGUUUCAUUGUAUCAGUUGGCAUUGGGAGCUGACUCAAACAACAUCACAGGAACUCUAUCAGUUUGCGUCUCGUUACCUAUGGCUGGCGCAAUAUCUUGGAUGGACUUCUGAAGUGGAGAUCUUGAUAGGAGGCGAUUUUAAUUUGCCAAUUAAAAAGAUACAAGAGCUUCUAGGUGAACAUAAUGCCCUCGUCCAAAAGAAAGUUGAAGAGAUCAAACCAUUUUUCAGGGAAAUGGGAUACAUGGAUGACAUGACGGAUAAUAUUCAACGACCAGGACGUCGGCUACGACAACUUAAACUCCACAAGUGUAAAUCUUCAUCAGGAGUUAACCAGGAAACAGAUUACUUUGUUGCAUCAAAGGAAAUGCAGCUAUGUAAUACCGAAAUGAUGACGACUUCUACCCUUCCAGGCAGAUGUACAAAUCUGACUGUAACCAGGCCCGCUGUACAUAGUUACUGUCCUGCGCCAACGAAGACAGAAAUGUGUAUUCCAGCAAGGCCACCCAGACACAACGGUGGUUAAAAUCAAUUCUACAUAGCUUUUGGUAUUUUGUUGUAUCCAAUUUAUAUCGUUAUAUGGUGUGAGUAACUGUUUUUAUGGCUUUCUUAAAAUAAAUUAUUGAAAAAUGGGGGAAAACCCGCACCCCCCAAAAAAGAAUAAAAAAUAUAAAACAAUAAAUUAAUAUUUAAAUUUUUCACCCCUAGGUUUGUAAAUAAAGAUCCUUCAUUUUUUCUCUCUCUUUUGAUAUUUUUUUGGGUAUCCAUUUUAUAUCGUUAUAUGGUGUGAGUAAUUGUUUUAAUGGCUUUCUUAAAAUAAUAUAUCGAAAAAUGGGGGAAAACCCGCACCCCCAAAAAAAGAAUAAAAAAUAUAAAAAAAUAAAUAAAUAUUUAAAUUAUCACCCCUUGGUUUGUAAAUGAUGACCCUUCAUUUUUUCUCUCUCGUAUGUAUAUUGGAAAAUUGUUUAUUUACAUGGAGUUUAACCUAUUGAAGUUGAAAAAUACCCCUUCCUGACCGCAAGGUUUUAUUUUCAUUUUUCGAGUUCACGGUUUUGAUUUUUCUUAUAGAACAAAUUAAAUCGAGUGAACAAUUUUUCGUUAAGUUCAAGAAAAUAAACAACACGCGAAAAUUGUCAACUUUAUAAUAGAUGAAAGUGUAAUUUAUUUGUUAAUAUUCAGGUGUUGUUUUCAAUAUCACAAACACACAUUUUCAAACCUCAACAUUCCUCAGGAGGCAAAACACAAAGUUUGAGUAUUAAUACAUAUCCCACUACUUUGUUUUGUUAAAAAAACAUAUCUAUCUUUGUGAAUUGUCACUGCUAUUUACAUCGAUUUAUGUAUAUCCUUUUUCUAUUACAUUACAUUUAUGUUAGUAUAAAGGUAUGCAUGAAGUUUCGAUAUCAGAUUACUGGUCCUUUCAGAAUCUCUUCCAUUGAUUGUAAUUAUAAUAAUUUGAUUGAGUUAUAAGUGUAUGAAAUAAAAAAAGUAGAAAAAUCAAAAUAAAAAAUACAAAAUGAAUAAAUAAGUUCAAAAUCCUACAUUUGAUAUUUGUUUCUACUUCAAAGUGAAUGAAUACUAUGAACCCUCCAUCUCCGGAGAUAAAUGUUAAGACCAAAGGUUAUAUAUUGAUGUAAACUGUAAAUAUUAACUGAUUUUUUUUGGGGAUGAAAUGAAUUGAGGAAAUUGAGAUACUUUAGAAAAUAUAUCUGCUAGUUUUACUUACUACUUAAUCAAGUCAACUACAUGUAUUAUCAAUUGUUAAAAACUAGGAUUCUUGCCUUCUAAUCUCUAAAAUAUUAAUUAGUUUGAUUGUCAAAUAAGUAAGAGGUGAUCACAGUGUAUUUUAAUUUUUUUACACCUUCACACUUAUGGCAACACAUAACAAUAGUUUAUAGAACAUGCUGUAGUAAAAAUAAAAUGGGUUAUUUGUUAAAAGUAUGGAAGGACAGACAAAGCUUUUAAAUGUUUUGAAGCAUUUAACUCAUUUUGUAAAAAAAGUGGCUUAUUUUAUCUUUGUUAAUUAUUUCUAAUUAAAAUCCAAACGACAUAAACUUUAAAUAUAAGUAUAGCAAUAUUGUAACUAUUCUAUGCGAACCAUCUUACAUUGUAAAUAAAACAUGUUUUCAUUA